GCGGUGGUUGCUACAAGCUUUAAUUUGCUAUUUUUUCUACCUCCACUUUAAAUUUCAGAAUGAUAACUUAUCCAAUAUCAUCCAUACAAUUACAAGUUUAUGCACAUCUUACUGUUGUUAUUACAUAUGCCUUAUUCUUUACUUUAUGACUUGGUAAUGGCUCUUGUUAGCAUAAUUAUGAUGAGGAUUAUGUUGUCAAAUGAGGAGAGACUUAUCUGGUAUAUGCGGUGUAUACUCUCUUUGUGCGAUCUGUCUUGGCAUUGCAUUUCAUUGCAUCACAAUGCAUGGCAUAUGGAGUUAAUUCGCCGCUUGAUAGCCGCGACCGUACCGGUACAGCAUCGUUUAUUGGGCAUAACGGUGCAGCUUCAUACUUUGUUGAGUAUGAAGGCAAGAGACAUGGCAUUUGCAUUGCAUUUGCAUUUAGGGUGCUAUCGGUUUUCUAUGGUAUUUAUUUGGCAGUGGUGGUGAGAAGUGAAUUUUCUCCAAGGUUUGGUGACGAAUUGGUUUUAUUUAUGUAUGAGGGUGUUGGAGUUAUUAUUAUUAUUAUUAUUCAUUGAGGAGAUACACUUACUGAUAAUAGUUAAACCAUGGUCUAAUGAACUUGUAGUUUAAAUAGCUUGUUAAAGCUAGUUACUUGCUGAGAUUUUAUAUCUCACCCCUAUUUUUUUUGUUACCCUCUCAGGUACUUGAUGGAUGGAUGCUUUGCUUGGGGGUUGGGAAGUAGCAGCACGUCACACACUUCUCUUUAAUCAAAAUCCUCUAGUGUGAUACUGUAAUAUUUAAGUCCUUCUCUAUGAGAGUCUAUUUGUUGCUUAAUGAUGGUUAAGCUUUGUUAAACCUUGCCUUAAUCGUUUGAAUUUCAUGUUAGGAUCUUUUAUUUAUGCUAGUGUGCUUUAUCCAUUUUCAUAUCUUAUUGUUUCUUGCUUCCGCGGUGUUCCUGAUUUAGGGAAGAUGCUGUCAAAAUCUGUCCCUUUUGUCCGGUGUGGCUUAGUAGCAUCCUAAGGUGGCGUUUGUUUUUCUUGGGGUGUUACAGUUGGUAUCAGAGCUUAGGUUAAUUUAAUCCUAGGAAAAAAUAAAGUCUAAUUUGACACACUUGCACUUGUAGGUUGGGUACGGGUACAUUGGUGUGUAUGGAUUAUUUUGUCUUUAUGCAUACUUUAAAUUGUUGGAGCUUGAUAUUUGUGUUGGUUGUGUCUUGUGGUGGCUGCAGUUAUGCCGCCUAAGAAGCAAGGUCGGGCACGACCAGCGAGCGGUGCCCAAGCUGAUGGCACUAGUCAAGCAGAAUUACUUGCCGCAAUGCGUGAGAUGCAAAAUGAGAUGAGGACUUUGAGGCAGGCUGCUCGUGCGGGUGCAGCACAACCUAAUCCUACUACCUCUACUCAGGAAGUUGCUGCCCCAGUUGGCCCUGAGAGUGGUGUCUCGCUGAGAGAGUGGGUUGGCAUGAAGCUCGAUAGUUUUGAUGGCAGUGGUACUCCUAUUCAGGCUGCUGAUUGGUUGUCAUAUGUGGAGGAUAAGAUGGAAGCUUUUGAGGUGUCAGCUCAUGAUCGUGUUCGUUAUGGGGCACAAUUACUAAAGGGUGAGGCACAGAUUUGGUGGAAGGGUGUGCAGUCAGCUCGCACGGCUGCGCAUGGUUCUUUAACUUGGCCUGAGUUUGUUAGGCAGUUUGAGAGGAGGUUUUACCCAGUGACCUUCCUGGACAAGAUGAAAAUUGAGCUAAAUAACUAUGUGCAGGAAAGGAAGACAGUGGCUGAGUAUGAGGUGGGGUUCAACCAGAUUGUUCGCUUUGUUCCACAUGUGGCCCAUGAUGAUGCAGAGAAAGCAAGGCAAUUUCGUCAAGGCCUUAAGCCUUCAAUUCGCCAUGUGUUGGGUGCCUUUGAAGUCACAGACUUUCGCUCCAUGGUAGAGAAAGCCUUGGGAGUUGAGAUGCAGCUUCAGGUCACAGCUGAUCUAAAUAAGUCUUUGAGUGGUGACCAGUCUCGUGGUCAGGGUGACAAGAAGGUCCAUUCUGGUGGUCAUGUUCAUAGGAAGGGCAAGUUUCAGCGUCACCAGCCGUACCGUGGUGGUUCAGCUCAGCCUCGUACUCCAGGAGGGAGUACUCCUCAGUAUCAUGCCAUUCCCAAACCUGGCACGGGGAUGGUGUGCUUCAAAUGUGGAGAUGCGCAUCGUCUUCGAGAGUGCCGAUGGUCCGGCAAGUGCUCUAUUUGUGGUCAAGAUCACAAGGACGUGGUUUGUAGGAAGAAUCCUGAUGCCAAGCUUCGUUGGGAGCUAGUGUCUUCUUCAGCUCCCAAUGGUGCAUUCCAUAUGAUGGCGGCUGCAUCUUCUACUCCUCACCUACCUGCACCGCCACCGCAGCAGCACCUACUUGCACCGCCACCGCAGCAGUACCUACCUGCCCCUACACCUCAGUACUUGCUAGCGCCACCGGUGACUCCAUCAGCUGCCCCUACACUUCAGACUGGGGCUUACUGGAUGCCCCAUGCUACUCCUUCAGCACCCAUGGUUCCAUGGGCUCCCACUCCGACGGGUCCUACUUCGGGUGCCUCUUCUUCGUCUGGCGUUCCAGGGGCAUAUGUUAUGCCUGCCACUAACGCUAGAGAUCGUGGUGACGUGGUAACAGGUAUCAUCUCAGUUGAUUCUUAUGAUGCUCAUGCUCUUUUUGAUUCUGGAGCUAGUUUCUCUUUCAUCUCAGAGGCUUUUGUUGGUCGUUUGGGUCUUUUUGUUGAAAGGAUUGGGGAGGCUAUCGUUGUUAGUUCUGCUAGAGGGCUUGUUUCGAGUUCUAUAGUUUGUCCAGGCUGUGUUGUCACUCUUGCGGAUGAGGAUUUUAUUGCUAACUUAGUGGUGAUUCCGUUGGAGCCUUUUGAUGUGAUUCUUGGCAUGGACUGGCUCUCCCAGUAUAAGGCCGUUAUCUCUUGUUUCUGGAAAACAAUCACUUUGCAAGAACCAUCAGGACGAGAGAUGAUCUUUCAAGGGAGUGGUUUGAAGUACUCUAUCUCCUUGUUGUGUCAGUUAUUUCCUAAUCGAUGGACACAAAAAACUGGUAUUCUUUUUGUGAUGAGUGGUGAUCAGGAGGUUCCCUUGCGAGUGGAUGAUAUUCUAGUGGUUUGUCGCUAUCCAGAUGUUUUCCCAGAUGAGCUCCCAGGUUUGCCUCCUGAAAGAGAGGCUAUUUUCCACAUAAAGUUGGUUCCUGGAACGCAACCUAUAUAUAAGACACCAUACAAGAUGGCUCCUGUGGAGCAGGUGGAGUUAAAGAAGCAAUUGGAUGAACUUCUUGCUAAAGGGUUUAUCCGACCAAGCACGUCACCUUGGGCUGCCCCAGUCUUGUUCGUAGAAAAGAAGGAUGGCACUAAAAGACUUUGUGUUGAUUAUCGAGCACUUAAUCAAGUAACAAUCAAGAACAAGUACCCUUUGCCUCGUAUUGAUGCUCUCUUUGAUCAAUUGAGAGGUGCCAAGGUAUUUUCUAAGAUUGACUUGCAAUCUGGUUACCAUCAACUACGUAUCAAGGAAGAGGAUAUUGAGAAGACGGCUUUUAAUACCAGGUAUGGGCAUUAUGAGUAUGUGGUUAUGUCUUUUGGACUAACAAAUGCCCCUGCUGUUUUUAUGGAGGCCAUGAACAGGAUGUUGCAUGAGUACUUGGAUGUUUUUGUUGUGGUAUUCAUCGAUGAUAUCUUAGUUUACUCCAAGUCAGAGGAGGAGCAUAAGGUUCAUCUCAGUCUUGUCUUGGAUGCACUCCGGAAGAACAAGUUCUAUGCAAAGUUGAAGAAAUGUGCAUUUUGGCUUUCUGAAGUGAGCUUCCUUGGUCAUGUCAUUAAUCAACAUGGCAUUAAGGUGGAUACUAAAAACGUUGCCUCAGUGGUGGAAUGGCAAAGACCGACCAAUGUAACAGAAGUUCGGAGCUUUCUUGGGCUUGCAGGUUAUUAUCGGCGUUUCGUGCAGGGUUUCUCAAUUGUUGCUAAGCCAAUGACUAAUCUCACUAAGAAGGGUGUUCCAUUCAUAUGGACUAAAGAGUGUGAGGCCAGUUUCCAAACUCUAAAGAAUAAGUUAGUGAAUGCUCCUAUAUUGACAUUACCUGAGAGCGGCAAACGCUUCACUUUGUAUACAGAUGCUUCUCGAAUCGGGCUUGGUUGUGUGCUUAUGCAAGAAGGUAAAGUGAUUGCUUAUGCAUCAAGGCAAUUGAAGAAGCAUGAGCAAAAUUACCCCACACAUGAUUUAGAGUUGGCUGCAGUUAUUUUUGCUCUAAAGAUUUGGAGGCAUUAUCUUUAUGGAGAGUCAUGUGAUAUAUUUACAGAUCACCAAAGUCUCAAAUAUAUUUUCACACAAAAAGAACUCAACUUCAGGCAACGGAGAUGGUUAGAAUUGAUUAAGGACUAUGAUCUCACUAUCCAGUACCAUCCAGGAAAGGCAAAUGUGGUGGCAGAUGCUCUUAGUAGGACAGGUGUUCCUAAGACAGUGAUGUCCUUGAUUGUUGAUAUGGAUCGCAUGGGGGUUUCGUUUUGUUAUGCGGGCGUUGCACAUCAAGAGACUCAAAUGCUUAUUCAGUCUCCCAUAGUUGAUCAGGUGCGUGAGGCUCAACAACAUGAUCGUUUGCUUCAAGAGGUUCGAAAGAGAAUUUUAGGGGGUAGACCACGGGAGUUCACCAUAGAUGAACAUGGUGCUAUUCGCUUUAGAGGGCGUCUUUGUGUGCCACAAAAUUCUGAUGUGAAGAUGGAUAUACUUAGGGAGGCACAUCGAACACCUUACACAAUUCACCCUGGUGAGACCAAGAUGUAUCGGGAUUUAAAGAAAAAUUUUUGGUGGAAAAGGAUGAAAGUUGAUGUUGCCAAAUAUGUAGCAUCUUGUGGAAUUUGUCAGCAAGUUAAGGCAGAACAUAAAAAGCCUGCGGGUUUAUUACGGCCUUUGGAGAUCCCUGAGUGGAAAUGGGAACAUAUCACCAUGGACUUCGUGGUCGGGUUACCUCGCUCACCUCGAGGGAGAGAUGCCAUAUGGGUUAUUGUGGAUAGACUCACUAAGUCUGCACAUUUCAUUCCGAUGAAGUCAACUAGUUCAGCACCAGAUUUGGUUCCCUUAUACAUGAGAGAAGUGCUAAGGCUUCAUGGUGUGCCAAAGUCCAUUGUUUCUGAUCGAGAUCCCAAGUUUGUGUCUAACUUUUGGCGAAGCUUGCAUAGUGCAUUGGGCACAAAUUUGACUCUUAGCACUGCUUUCCACCCUCAGACUGAUGGUCAGUCGGAGAGGACUAUUCAGACCUUAGAGGACAUGCUUCGUGCUUGUGUUCUUUCAUGGAAAGGUAGUUGGGAGGAUCAUCUAUCUUUGGCAGAGUUCGCUUAUAAUAACAGCUAUCAAGCUAGUAUCAAGAUGGCUCCAUUUGAGGCUUUGUAUGGUAGGAAGUGUAUUUCUCCCAUAUGCUGGGAAACUUUGGGUGAGAGAUCUUUGAUUGGUCCAGAUUGGGUCCGAGAGACAUCUGAAAAGGUGCGGGAGAUACGACAGAAUCUGUUGGCUGCUCAGAGCCGGCAGAAGAGUUAUGCUGAUGUGAGGAGGCGAGAUCUAGAGUUUGCAGUGGGUGACCAUGUUCUUCUUAGGGUAUCGCCAACCAAAGGUGUUGUGAGGUUUGGCACCACAGGAAAGCUUAGCCCAAGGUACAUUGGUCCGUUUGUGAUCACAGCCCGUGUUGGCAGUUUGGCAUAUCGCUUGCAGCUUCCAGAAUCAUUGAAGCAAGUGCACAAUGUUUUCCAUGUAUCUAUGUUAAGAAAAUAUUUGAGGGAUCCUGAGCACAAGAUUGAUUUGGAGCCACUUAUUGUGGAGCCAAAUCUAAUUGUGGAAUGUCACCCAGAACGUAUCUUAGACUCAUCCGAGCGAGUCAUGAGAAAAAGGACCAUCAAAUAUGUCAAGGUUCUAUGGAGUAAUCAGUCGGAGCGUGAAGCGACUUGGGAGCUCGAGGACCAAAUGCGCAAGAAGUACCCACAACUCUUUGAGAGCGGUAAGUUUUAAUUUAUCAAGUUGGUAUACCUUUGAGUAGUUAAAUUCGGGGACGAAUUCUUUAAAGGAGGGGAGAAUGUAACACACUAAAAAAAAAAAUCAAAGGCCCAGCCAGCCCAACCUUUUCCCUGGCCCGUUGCCCCCUCCCAUCUUAUCCAGACCGGUCCUCUCUUCCUUCUCACGUUUCUUCCUCCUUCCCUGCUCUCCCAUGGCUUCCCCUCCCUAAAUCCCCUCUCUACAGCAGCAAACCCUUGGGGGGAACUAGCAAAACGGAUCGAGGACAACAAGAGGAGCAAGAAAGGUGCAUCUUCCAUGUAGAUCGGUCCUUUCCCCAUAUCUUCCCGCUGCCCUAGGGUUUGGGGAACGACCAAGGUGAGGUGAAUCCACUUUAGAUCUGCUAAUUGAUGUUUUUAGGAGGUUCUUGGUCCUGAGGAUUAGUGGAUUUGUUGGGGAAAACACGGUUUGAAGGUCGAUUUAAGGUGUGCUGUCCUGUAGCUCGGGCAGUGCUGCUGUCCUUGUAGUUUUGGUGACCUAAACGAUUUCUCCUCCAAAAGUGGAUCAUACAAAAGUUGUAGAGAAUUAUGAGAUGUAACUGCUGUCCAAGUUUCAUAUUUUUUUGGUGGAGUAUACCUUCAGUUAUUGAAUAUUGUUUGGACGCUGUUUCUGAAUGUCCAGAUUUUUGACAGCAGAUGUUCAAAGAUGUAUUAGAUGAUCUUAAGGAUGGAAUUCGUGGAAACCCAUAAUAACAAAGUUUUAGGUUUCUCAGAGAUAUAUGUCCUGACAAAAUUUUAGAAUUUUUGGACAAGGGGUUUGGGAGAUAUGAAUUUUUGUAUGCUGCUGCCUGAAAUUUCAGACAGAUUCUGUACUUCACAUUCAACUGCAGUUUUACCCCUCUUUGGAUUAUGCUAAAAAUAAAGGAUCUGAACAAAGUUGUAAGAUUUCUCCCUUAGUUUUCUAAGAUGUAUUUGCUUGCUGUCAUAUCUUUUGUAAUUUUAAAGAUACAAAAAAGUGAAGCAGCACUGCUGCGGUUAACCUAGGUGAUGUUUACCAUCGUCGCUUGUUUGACGGGUUGGGCUAUAUGGGUGCUUUACUUGCUGUGUGCACAUGGUUGUUUGAGGAUAUGUUCUGAUCUUAUUGUGUCAAAACAGGUGGUAACGCUCCGGAUCACGCUUAGAGCGGCUAUCUCCUUCAUUGGGAGGCAAGUAACGUAGCGGUGGUUGCUACAAGCUUUAAUUUGCUAUUUUUUCUACCUCCACUUUAAAUUUCAGAAUGAUAACUUAUCCAAUAUCAUCCAUACAAUUACAAGUUUAUGCACAUCUUACUGUUGUUAUUACAUAUGCCUUAUUCUUUACUUUAUGACUUGGUAAUGGCUCUUGUUAGCAUAAUUAUGAUGAGGAUUAUGUUGUCAAAUGAGGAGAGACUUAUCUGGUAUAUGCGGUGUAUACUCUCUUUGUGCGAUCUGUCUUGGCAUUGCAUUUCAUUGCAUCACAAUGCAUGGCAUAUGGAGUUAAUUCGCCGCUUGAUAGCCGCGACCGUACCGGUACAGCAUCGUUUAUUGGGCAUAACGGUGCAGCUUCAUACUUUGUUGAGUAUGAAGGCAGGAGACAUGGCAUUUGCAUUGCAUUUGCAUUUAGGGUGCUAUCGGUUUUCUAUGGUAUUUAUUUGGCAGUGGUGGUGAGAAGUGAAUUUUCUCCAAGGUUUGGUGACGAAUUGGUUUUAUUUAUGUACGAGGGUGUUGGAGUUAUUAUUAUUAUUAUUAUUCAUUGAGGAGAUACACUUACUGAUAAUAGUUAAACCAUGGUCUAAU
This 7777-nucleotide long non-coding RNA is filed under the name Setaria italica (foxtail millet). RNAcentral describes it as "long non-coding RNA (SITA_LNC002753)". Lineage: Eukaryota; Viridiplantae; Streptophyta; Magnoliopsida; Poales; Poaceae. The record is from RNAcentral.